This 21-nucleotide non-coding RNA is filed under the name Mus musculus (house mouse). The record is from RNAcentral. Lineage: Eukaryota; Metazoa; Chordata; Mammalia; Rodentia; Muridae.
UGUUGAGCGCGCGCAACAAGU